ACCAGGCGUGGUGGCACAUGCCUGUAGUCCCAGCUACUCGGGAGGCUGAGGUGGGAGGAUUGCUUGAGUCCAGGAGUUCUGGGCUGUAGUGCGCUCUGCUGAUUGGGUGUCUGCACUAAGUUCGGUAUCAAUAUGGUGACCUCCCAGGAGUGGGCGACCACUAGGUUGCCCAAGGAGGGGUGAACCAGGCCAGGUCGGAGUGGAGCAGGUCAAAACUCCCAUGAUGAUCAGUAGUGGGAUUGUGCCUGUGAAUAGCCACUGAACUCCAGCCUGGGCAACAUAGCAAGACCCCAUCUCU
Molecule: signal recognition particle RNA, 298 nt
Filed under: Saimiri boliviensis boliviensis (Bolivian squirrel monkey)
Lineage: Eukaryota; Metazoa; Chordata; Mammalia; Primates; Cebidae
Description: Metazoan signal recognition particle RNA (ENSSBOG00000001713.1)
Rfam family: Metazoan signal recognition particle RNA
About the family: The signal recognition particle (SRP) is a universally conserved ribonucleoprotein. It is involved in the co-translational targeting of proteins to membranes.
Source: RNAcentral